Molecule: ribosomal RNA, 430 nt
Filed under: uncultured bacterium
Lineage: Bacteria
Description: bacterial SSU rRNA
Rfam family: Bacterial small subunit ribosomal RNA
Source: RNAcentral
GUGGGGAAUAUUGCACAAUGGGCGAAAGCCUGAUGCAGCGACGCCGCGUGAGGGAUGACGGCCUUCGGGUUGUAAACCUCUUUCAGCAGGGAAGAAGCUUUUGUGACGGUACCUGCAGAAGAAGCACCGGCUAACUACGUGCCAGCAGCCGCGGUAAUACGUAGGGUGCGAGCGUUGUCCGGAAUUAUUGGGCGUAAAGAGCUUGUAGGCGGUUUGUCGCGUCUGCUGUGAAAAUUCAGGGCUUAACCCUGGACGUGCAGUGGGUACGGGCAGACUAGAGUAUGGUAGGGGAGACUGGAAUUCCUGGUGUAGCGGUGGAAUGCGCAGAUAUCAGGAGGAACACCGAUGGCGAAGGCAGGUCUCUGGGCCAUUACUGACGCUGAGAAGCGAAAGCAUGGGGAGCGAACAGGAUUAGAUACCCCUGUAGUCC